RNAcentral lists this ribosomal RNA (449 nucleotides) under uncultured bacterium. Its description in RNAcentral is "partial 16S ribosomal RNA". It matches the Rfam family "Bacterial small subunit ribosomal RNA", at positions 29 to 523 of the family's 1533-position model. The record is from RNAcentral.
AGCGAACGCUGGCGGCAGGCCUAACACAUGCAAGUCGAACGAAGUCUUCGGACUUAGUGGCGGACGGGUGAGUAACACGUGGGAACGUGCCUUUAGGUUCGGAAUAACUCAGGGAAACUUGUGCUAAUACCGAAUGUGCCCUUCGGGGGAAAGAUUUAUCGCCAUUGGAGCGGCCCGCGUCUGAUUAGCUAGUUGGUGAGGUAAAGGCUCACCAAGGCGACGAUCAGUAGCUGGUCUGAGAGGAUGAUCAGCCACAUUGGGACUGAGACACGGCCCAAACUCCUACGGGAGGCAGCAGUGGGGAAUCUUGCGCAAUGGGCGAAAGCCUGACGCAGCCAUGCCGCGUGAAUGAUGAAGGUCUUAGGAUUGUAAAAUUCUUUCACCGGGGACGAUAAUGAUGGUACCCGGAGAAGAAGCCCCGGCUAACUUCGUGCCAGCCGCCGCGGUAA